Molecule: transfer RNA, 68 nt
Filed under: Lysmata debelius (fire shrimp)
Lineage: Eukaryota; Metazoa; Arthropoda; Malacostraca; Decapoda; Hippolytidae
Description: tRNA-His
Rfam family: tRNA
About the family: Transfer RNA (tRNA) molecules are approximately 80 nucleotides in length.
Source: RNAcentral
GCUUAGAUAGUUUAAUUAAAAUACUGGGUUGUGGACUCAGAGAUAUAAAUAUAGUUUUAUUAUAAGCA